This 68-nucleotide ribosomal RNA is filed under the name Salinivibrio sp. PR5. RNAcentral's name for it is "partial 23S ribosomal RNA". The record is from RNAcentral. Lineage: Bacteria; Pseudomonadati; Pseudomonadota; Gammaproteobacteria; Vibrionales; Vibrionaceae.
GUUGUAUGGUUAAGUGAUUAAGCGUAGACGGUGGAUGCCUUGGCAGUCAGAGGCGAUGCAGGACGUAU